ACGGGUGAGUAACACGUGGGUAACCUGCCCAUCAGAAGGGGAUAACACUUGGAAACAGGUGCUAAUACCGUAUAACAAUCGAAACCGCAUGGUUUUGAUUUGAAAGGCGCUUUCGGGUGUCGCUGAUGGAUGGACCUGCGGUGCAUUAGCUAGUUGGUGAGGUAACGGCUCACCAAGGCGACGAUGCAUAGCCGACCUGAGAGGGUGAUCGGCCACAUUGGGACUGAGACACGGCCCAAACUCCUACGGGAGGCAGCAGUAGGGAAUCUUCGGCAAUGGACGAAAGUCUGACCGAGCAACGCCGCGUGAGUGAAGAAGGUUUUCGGAUCGUAAAACUCUGUUGUUAGAGAAGAACAAGGAUGAGAGUAACUGUUCAUCCCUUGACGGUAUCUAACCAGAAAGCCACGGCUAACUACGUGCCAGCAGCCGCGGUAAUACGUAGGUGGCAAGCGUUGUCCGGAUUUAUUGGGCGUAAAGCGAGCGCAGGCGGUUUCUUAAGUCUGAUGUGAAAGCCCCCGGCUCAACCGGGGAGGGUCAUUGGAAACUGGGAGACUUGAGUGCAGAAGAGGAGAGUGGAAUUCCAUGUGUAGCGGUGAAAUGCGUAGAUAUAUGGAGGAACACCAGUGGCGAAGGCGGCUCUCUGGUCUGUAACUGACGCUGAGGCUCGAAAGCGUGGGGAGCAAACACGGAUUAGAUACCCUGGUAGUCCACGCCGUAAACGAUGAGUGCUAAGUGUUGGAGGGUUUCCGCCCUUCAGUGCUGCAGCUAACGCAUUAAGCACUCCGCCUGGGGAGUACGACCGCAAGGUUGAAACUCAAAGGAAUUGACGGGGGCCCGCACAAGCGGUGGAGCAUGUGGUUUAAUUCGAAGCAACGCGAAGAACCUUACCAGGUCUUGACAUCCUUUGACCACUCUAGAGAUAGAGCUUCCCCUUCGGGGGCAAAGUGACAGGUGGUGCAUGGUUGUCGUCAGCUCGUGUCGUGAGAUGUUGGGUUAAGUCCCGCAACGAGCGCAACCCUUAUUGUUAGUUGCCAUCAUUUAGUUGGGCACUCUAGCAAGACUGCCGGUGACAAACCGGAGGAAGGUGGGGAUGACGUCAAAUCAUCAUGCCCCUUAUGACCUGGGCUACACACGUGCUACAAUGGGAAGUACAACGAGUCGCAAAGUCGCGAGGCUAAGCUAAUCUCUUAAAGCUUCUCUCAGUUCGGAUUGUAGGCUGCAACUCGCCUACAUGAAGCCGGAAUCGCUAGUAAUCGCGGAUCAGCACGCCGCGGUGAAUACGUUCCCGGGCCUUGUACACACCGCCCGUCACACCACGAGAGUUUGUAACACCCGAAGUCGGUGAGGUAACCUUUUGGAGCCAGCCG
This 1367-nucleotide ribosomal RNA is filed under the name Enterococcus hirae. RNAcentral describes it as "bacterial SSU rRNA". It matches the Rfam family "Bacterial small subunit ribosomal RNA", at positions 102 to 1455 of the family's 1533-position model. Lineage: Bacteria; Bacillati; Bacillota; Bacilli; Lactobacillales; Enterococcaceae. The record is from RNAcentral.